CCUAACACAUGCAAGUCGAACGGUAACGCGAGGAGCUUGCUCCUUGGCGACGAGUGGCGGACGGGUGAGUAAUACUUAGGAAUCUGCCCAGUAGCGGGGGACAACUCGAGGAAACUCGAGCUAAUACCGCAUACGCCCUACGGGGGAAAGCGGAGGAUCUUUCGGGACUUCGCGCUAUUGGAUGAGCCUAAGUCGGGUUAGCUUGUUGGUGGGGUAAAGGCCUACCAAGGCGACGAUCCGUAGCUGGUCUGAGAGGACGAUCAGCCACACUGGGACUGAGACACGGCCCAGACUCCUACGGGAGGCAGCAGUGGGGAAUAUUGGACAACGGGGGCAACCCUGAUCCAGCAAUGCCGCGUGUGUGAAGAAGGCCUGCGGGUUGUAAAGCACUUUCAGUAGAGAAGAAAAGCUUACGGUUAAUACCCGUGAGUCUUGACGUAACCUACAGAAGAAGCACCGGCUAACUCCGUGCCAGCAGCCGCGGUAAUACGGAGGGUGCAAACGUUAAUCGGAAUUACUGGGCGUAAAGCGCGCGUAGGCGGUUUGGUAAGUCGGAUGUGAAAGCCCUGGGCUCAACCUGGGAAUUGCAUUCGAUACUGCUGAACUAGAGUAUGGUAGAGGGAAGUGGAAUUUCCGGUGUAGCGGUGAAAUGCGUAGAUAUCGGAAGGAACACCAGUG
Molecule: ribosomal RNA, 678 nt
Filed under: uncultured Gammaproteobacteria bacterium
Lineage: Bacteria; Pseudomonadati; Pseudomonadota; Gammaproteobacteria
Description: bacterial SSU rRNA
Rfam family: Bacterial small subunit ribosomal RNA
Source: RNAcentral